RNAcentral lists this long non-coding RNA (827 nucleotides) under Penaeus vannamei (Pacific white shrimp). Its description in RNAcentral is "lnc336". Lineage: Eukaryota; Metazoa; Arthropoda; Malacostraca; Decapoda; Penaeidae. The record is from RNAcentral.
CAGGAGAUUCUUCGUCGGGGAGUCUACUCUUUGCGUUGUGACAGUCUGCGCGACCUUCUCACUAUGAUCGCUCGUAGCAUCACUCUGGCCCUGAUGGUGGUCGUGGCCCUGUCUGCCUUGGCACUGGCCAUUCCCGCACCCGAGGCCGAGGCCGACGCCAAGGCCAACAGGAGAUUCUUCUUCGGACAUGGAUUGGGUGGAUUCGGCGGCGGCUUCGGUGGAUUUGGUGGAUAUGGAGGAUAUGGAGGAUACGGACAUGGAUACGGCUUUGGAUACAGGCCCUAUGGAUUUGGACACUUUGGCUAAGGACAGAAGCUGAGGAUUCGGACGAUCCUUCUCAACUCCUUCCCCGGAUGCUGACCGCUGGCAGGGCUGCGCAGAUCGUCACCAAACCUCUGCUUCUGCCUUGACAACCUGCCAACCUGGGAAGGAAAUGAAACUCUGCCUUUAUUUACUAUCUUCGUUCGACUUUACCUGUUCACUAAGAAUGGUUCAAUAAAUUGGUGUUUGCCUUGAAGAUUCCGUUUUAUUGAAUCCAAUAAAACAUUAUAAAACCAUUAUAAACCAGGGUUUCUCAACCGGGGGGCCAUGGAGCAAUAUGAAUAUUAUGACCAAUUUAAACUGAAUUUUGUCUCACCUAUAGUAGCAACACAUAUUAAUAAAUUGGAUUAUUUCCAUCAAGGGUUCUUGUCCUAUAGCUAUUGACACCAUUACACUAUUCAUAAUAAGUAACUAAAUCUGAGAUGACAGACACUGAAUGGGGCCAUGGAAAUUAUUACAUAUUGGUCGGGGGCCACAAAAAAAAAAAAAAAAAAAAAAAAAGGCGC